CCUACGGGUGGCAGCAGUGAGGAAUAUUGGUCAAUGGGAGGAAUCCUGAACCAGCCAUGCCGCGUGCAGGACGACGGCUCUACGAGUUGUAAACUGCUUUUGUACCGGGGUAAAAUGCCUUACGUGUAGGGUUUUGAAAGUACGGUACGAAUAAGGAUCGGCUAACUCCGUGCCAGCAGCCGCGGUAAUACGGAGGAGGCGAGCGUUAUCCGGAUUUAUGGGGUUUAAAGGGUGCGUAGGGGGAAUGCCAAGUCAGCGGUAAAAUCGCGGGGCUAAACCUAGCUCCGCCGUUGAAACUGGCGUUCUUGAGUGGGCGAGAGGUAUGCGGAAUGCGUGGUGUAGCGGUGAAAUGCAUAGAUAUCACGAAGAACUCCGAUUGCGAAGGCAGCAUACCGGCGCCCAACUGACGCUGAAGCACGAAAGCGUGGGUAUCGAACAGGAUUAGAUACCCUAGUAGUC
This 459-nucleotide ribosomal RNA is filed under the name uncultured bacterium. RNAcentral's name for it is "partial 16S ribosomal RNA". It matches the Rfam family "Bacterial small subunit ribosomal RNA", at positions 338 to 795 of the family's 1533-position model. The record is from RNAcentral.